Molecule: long non-coding RNA, 1344 nt
Filed under: Aquilegia coerulea
Lineage: Eukaryota; Viridiplantae; Streptophyta; Magnoliopsida; Ranunculales; Ranunculaceae
Description: long non-coding RNA (ACOE_LNC000458)
Source: RNAcentral
AGAAUAGUAUUUGACUAUAUUGAACUGGCAAAUCUCCUUGUAUUUGAUAUUUGUACUAAUCAAGAAGACUCGUUUACAAAAGCCAUUAUUCACAAAAGGAAGCCAUAUUGGUGUAUAAGUAUCACCCUACCACUAUUACUGCUACUGCUACUCAAGAACCAUUCACAUUGUCAUUGUCACAUUGUCAAGAACUAGUAACUACUACUGAUCACCAUUGUCACAUUGUCAUGAACUACUACUACUACUGAUCACCAUUGAUCCAAGAAAAUUCAAAAUAGAUUCUAACCGUUUCCACCAACAGCAGCAGCAGCACCACCACCACCAGGCAUAGCAUUACCACCAGGCACAGCACCACCACCACCAGGAAUAGCAAUACCACCAGCACCAGCAGCAGGCAUAGCAUUACCACCAGGACCACCACCAGCAGCAGGCAUAUCAUUACCACCAGCACCACCAGCACCACCACCAGCAGGCAUAUCAUUACCACCAGCACCACGCCCACGACCACGCCCACGCCCACGACCACGACCACGCCCACGCCCACGACCACGACCACCAGCAGGGAUAGCAUUACCAUCGGCACCAACACCAGCAGGCACAACAUUACCACCAGCAGGCACAGCAGCAUCAGCAUCAUCAUCACUCUCACUCUCAGUAUCAGGAUAAUCAUCCUCAGACGAUGAUGAACCGCCUUCAACCCAUUCAUACGGUGAAGGACAACCAUCAAAAGCAAAAGCAUGCUCAUCUAUGACUUUUUGAUAUUCUUCAGGAGUAUAAUCAUUCUUAAUACAAAAUUUCUCACGAAUCUCGUCUGGUGUACACUCACUCAAGAAUUUAGCAACAUAUUUACAAGUAAGAUCCAACAAACACGGAAUUUCCAAGUAAUCAGCAGCCAAAAUGAGAUCAAACAACAAAUCAUUACCAGCUUCCUCAAGCAUCUCUUCAUCCCACUCAUUCAAUUUUUCUACUUCUUGUGGAUUAAGAAUCCGGCCUGCUGGUUUAAGAUGUUUCUCGCAGUAUUGAAUCACCUGAUACAUAGUAUGUCUAGUAACAUUAUAUAAAGGUAUUUCUUCUUUAGCACAACCGUCUUCAAUCAUGCGUUUGAUGGUUUGACAUAAAGAAAUUACCUUUUCUUCAACUUUAAACACUUCUCCAUCGCUAGUUCUUAACAUCACCGUCUUCUUUGGCUUCUUCUUCUUAUUCUUCCCUGGCAUUUCAGUUCCAGGUGGUCUGGUUUUCCAAAGUAAAGACAUUGUUGCAGAAAUUCAAAACCCUAGCUAAUUCGAUCAACAGAGAAAGAAUAGAAGAAAGAAAGAAAGAAAGAAAGGUUUUAGUGGUUUUCAA